UGCCUUCGCCAUCGGUGUUCCUCCGCAUAUCUACGCAUUUCACUGCUACACGCGGAAUUCCAUCCCCCUCUGCCGCACUCUAGCCUUGCAGUCACAAUGGCAGUUCCCAGGUUGAGCCCGGGGAUUUCACCACUGUCUUACAAAACCGCCUGCGCACGCUUUACGCCCAGUAAUUCCGAUUAACGCUUGCACCCUACGUAUUACCGCGGCUGCUGGCACGUAGUUAGCCGGUGCUUAUUCUUACGGUACCGUCAUGACCCGGGGAUAUUAGCCCCAGGCUUUUCGUUCCGUACAAAAGCAGUUUACAACCCGAGGGCCUUCAUCCUGCACGCGGCAUUGCUGGAUCAGGCUUUCGCCCAUUGUCCAAAAUUCCCCACUGCUGCCUCCCGUAGGAGUCUGGGCCGUGUCUCAGUCCCAGUGUGGCUGGUCGUCCUCUCAGACCAGCUACAGAUCGCAGGCUUGGUAAGCCUUUACCCCACCAACUACCUAAUCUGCCAUCAGCCGCUCUA
RNAcentral lists this ribosomal RNA (509 nucleotides) under Comamonas thiooxydans. RNAcentral's name for it is "partial 16S rRNA". Lineage: Bacteria; Pseudomonadati; Pseudomonadota; Betaproteobacteria; Burkholderiales; Comamonadaceae. The record is from RNAcentral.